This 253-nucleotide ribosomal RNA is filed under the name uncultured bacterium. RNAcentral describes it as "partial 16S ribosomal RNA". It matches the Rfam family "Bacterial small subunit ribosomal RNA", at positions 524 to 776 of the family's 1533-position model. The record is from RNAcentral.
UACGGAGGGGGCCAGCGUUGUUCGGAAUUAUUGGGCGUAAAGGGCGCGUAGGCGGCUUGGUAAGUCAGUUGUGAAAUCCCUCGGCUCAACCGAGGAAUGGCGUCUGAGACUGCCAGGCUUGAGUCCCGGAGAGGGUAGCGGAAUUCCCAGUGUAGCGGUGAAAUGCGUAGAUAUUGGGAGGAACACCAGUGGCGAAGGCGGCUACCUGGACGGGCACUGACGCUGAGGCGCGAAAGCGUGGGGAGCAAACAGG